CGAAAUAAAUUAACAAACAAAGCCCAUGAUUAACAAAAAAAAUUAACAAAAUUAGAAUAGAGCCUAAAUUAAUCUUCUUUUUCUUUAACCCAAAAUCAAUGAAAAAAUCUAUUAAACAAAAAUAGAGCCAAAAAGUUAACAAAGCCCAUGAUUACAAACAAAUAAAUAAAUAAAAUAUUAUAAUUAUAAAAGGUAAGAGGGUAGCCCUAAUUUCUUCAUCUUCAACUUGCGCCUCCCAUGUCUUCUUUUUCAUCUCUGUUUUUUUUUUCCACUUCUGCAUAAAUAUUCUUCUUCCUUCCAUCAACACAUCAAAAAUUCAAACAAAUAAAAUCCCUAAUAUCAUUCCCUUCAUCAGCAUCGCUUCUUCCCCUAAUAUUACAGAGCCACUUAUUUUUUUCUCAUUUCUUCUUCCUUAAGUUCGUUCGCCCUCACUCCCAAAUCCACCGUUGCGGCUCAAUUCGGUACUUAUAGACGCGACUCAACAUAGCAAGUUGAAAGGCAGAGAAAUAAAAUCAAAGCUUCAACUUCUACUUCUCUUUUAUCAGUGAAAGCCAAGUUCUUGAAAUUGUUCGAGGUCUUUUUAGAAAGAAAGAAAAAAAUUGCUGCUUCUUCUUUCUCAUCUUUUUCUUCUCUAGUUGUCGUCGUGGUUUUGGGUUUUGGGUGGUGUUGGUGGUUGCAGUAGCACUGACAAUGGUGAUAAUGAAAGAAUUUUGUUGGUAAAUUCAAAUGCUCCGAUGAGUAGAGCAACCAUGAUUAUUGUUUGAGUGCAAAUUUCAUCUUAUUUAUAGAGCUCAAAAUGUGGAGGCUAAGUAUACUUGUUCUCCAAGAACAUAUUGAAAGGA
Molecule: long non-coding RNA, 842 nt
Filed under: Salvia miltiorrhiza (redroot sage)
Lineage: Eukaryota; Viridiplantae; Streptophyta; Magnoliopsida; Lamiales; Lamiaceae
Description: long non-coding RNA (SMIL_LNC014219)
Source: RNAcentral